AACUGAAAAAAAAGGGGGGGCUCCGUGUGCUUGGCUGAUACUUUCGUCCCCUCUCGCAUCUACGAAAAAACAGCCUGCGCGCCCGCCCCUACUACCGCGCAACCAAGCUUCCCGCAUGCCUCCAUAGACAGAAAAAAAAAUUAUCAAACGUGCGCCAUGGAUGUCAAGAUAAAGAGCGUCCACCUCGUGGCGAAGUGGAUGUGGGACUGCAAGGGCGAAACUUGUGGCAUCUGUCGUCAAGAGUAUGAGGCAGCCUGCCCCACCUGCCGCGUGCCGGGCGACGACUGCCCAAUCCUGACGAGCCCCUGCCACCAUACGUUUCACUUGCACUGCAUCACACGAGCCUUGGAGAAGGAGGAGGGCCAGCCCGAGUGCCCGACGUGCCGUGCGCCGUGGCAAAUGUAGAACGGGAAUCAGUGCAGCAUGGCCCGUCUGAAGUCGCCACCACCUUUGACAUGCGCCGUCUAGCAUCCGUAUUGUGCCACCGACGUUGUGGAGAGCCCCCUUUUCUCUAGAGGGCACGGUUGGUGCUAUGCAUGCCUGAUAUCCCUCUCUCCCUGCGUGUGGCAGAAGAUCGGCUGAUACUGCUUUCGCGUUCUUUUUACCCGCACAGAUAAGAAAGUAAAGCAUCGGAAGUGCACCUUCGCGUUGGCCAAACCAGCUUGGUGUUAUGUAGGCGCACGCCCUCUGCAAAGUGAACCCCGCACGUAGGCGUCUUCCACCAGUACUCACGGGGGCUUUGCUCGUGCGAGAGCGCGUGAGUUGUAUACGCCGGCGUCAGCUGCUCCCCCGUCUUCCUCACUUCCUCGCCGAUGAUAUGGCGCUACAGUUUCGCCCUUGCUCUCUCCUUCUACGCUCUCCUCUGCCCUCGGACUUCUUGGGCUCCUCGCCCUACAUCCUUCCACACGCAUUACGUUUCGGCCAACUGCCGGCACAAG
Molecule: unclassified non-coding RNA, 938 nt
Filed under: Leishmania donovani
Lineage: Eukaryota; Euglenozoa; Kinetoplastea; Trypanosomatida; Trypanosomatidae
Description: gene:LdHU3.35.6020(CDS-product:anaphase_promoting _complex_subunit_protein_putative)
Source: RNAcentral